Molecule: small RNA, 155 nt
Filed under: Rhodopseudomonas palustris BisA53
Lineage: Bacteria; Pseudomonadati; Pseudomonadota; Alphaproteobacteria; Hyphomicrobiales; Nitrobacteraceae
Description: Bradyrhizobiaceae sRNA BjrC80
Rfam family: Bradyrhizobiaceae sRNA BjrC80
Source: Rfam by way of RNAcentral
AGAUGGAGCACGUCGCAGGCUAUCGCCCCCGCCGCGACGUGUUCCGGGAACGGGCGAAGGUCCGUUCCCACCGAUACCUUCCGGAAGGAGAAUGCCCCCCUCCGUCGGAAGGUGCGGCGGGCGGUGAGGUCCCCCCAGCUUCACCGCCCGUACUU